RNAcentral lists this long non-coding RNA (371 nucleotides) under Nicotiana benthamiana. RNAcentral's name for it is "long non-coding RNA (NBEN_LNC005170)". Lineage: Eukaryota; Viridiplantae; Streptophyta; Magnoliopsida; Solanales; Solanaceae. The record is from RNAcentral.
GGGGGGGGGGGGGGGGGGGGGGGGGGAGUUGUUGAAGUGAGCUAUAGUUGGAAGCCCAAUUUUAAGUCUUAACAUUAGCCCAUUUAUUUAUUUGUACACUUCAUAGCAUAGAGGCCCAUUAUAUUUUCAUUGUAACUUUUGUUACAUUCUUGGGUCAAGGCCCAAUAUAUAAAUAGGAGUUCAUCUUUGUACAGAAACGAUUUUUUUCUGCUCAAGUAAUAGAAAAGACCCAAAUAUUUAUCUCAACCAACUCUCUCUUUAUCAAUAUGAAACCUCAAUAAGGUUUCAUUGAUUUUGACGAUUUCUCACAAGGUAACAAUACGACCCAAUGUAAUAUAUUGCACUUACGUAAUCAUGUUAUUUACUUUUCA